Molecule: long non-coding RNA, 2965 nt
Organism: Gavialis gangeticus (Gharial)
Lineage: Eukaryota; Metazoa; Chordata; Crocodylia; Gavialidae
Exons: 2
Source: RefSeq, a predicted model, not a curated record
CAUUCACUGGGGUUUAGACAAUGUAAACUUUUCCACCACGCGAACGGGAGCAACCCCGGCCCCGGAGCGCUCCCCUUUCCUCGGGGAACCUCGCAGAGGCAGGCGGGCUCCCGCGCUACCUUUGCGGAGGGGGAGGCUGCUGGGGGCAGAGGAGUUAAGCUUCCCUGGCAGGACCCCCGGGCUGCAGCGUCCUGUAGGUGUAAUUCUUCUGGUGAAUCCAUGAAUAGUUGGCUUAAGUCUGAAAUGAUUCAGACUGAAAACGUCCAAGAGGAGUUAUUCCAAUUCUUCCCCGAGCCCCGAAAGGGAAAAGCAUCAGUCGACAGAGUCAACAGUCCUCAUCGUGACCUUAAUCAGGAUUUGGCUACGUGCCACUUCAAAUGUAGAGCUCGGUCCUGUGGUUGGCAUUGACAGCUCCAAAUAAACACGCUCCAUAUGGGAGCGGCACGUUUGCUUUUAAGAUAAAGAGCCAUUCUGGAGGAGUUUGGAUUGCUGCGCCCAGGCACGUGGAGCUACUGUGAGGAGCGAGCCCAAGUAGCGAGAACCUUUAAAAGUAGCUUAUUUGUCAUCGAUCGGGCUGAAAUGUGCCGGGGAUGCACAGCACGACACGACUCCCGCACGGGCUUUGACCAAACUACUGGUGCAAGGACUUCAGGGUAACAAUUCAUCUCCAGAGCAGAGUGUAGCUACAAAUGUCAUGUCUGAGCUGUGAAAUAACGCCCCUAAGAGAUGCCAGAGUUCAGACAGAAAACUGUUUUAUUCUCGGGAUCUGUGGUCAACCUGAGGAUGCGCUUCAUGUAAUUGCUUAUUCAAAGAGCGCCAUCCUGCGGCUGAACGCAGUAAGCGGCGAUGAAAGUGGCUGGCCGGACUUCAGAGGUAGCAAUUUUCUCACCUCUGUGGACAACGUGCUCCGUGUGCUUUGUGCUCCGCGCAGGGGCGCGAGUGCCUGGCGCGCUGGGUGCUCUUCCCUUUGUUCUGUGCACACAGUAACUGUGUAGCUGGAGUGUCUGUGUUCAUGCCUUUGUGGAUUCUGCUUCUCUGUCUAACCUGUAAUAGAUACGUGUAUUAAAGAACCCUGACAUAUUUUUUUAACUUCAUGUAGGGCAAUCAAUGUGAUGGAUGGGUUAUUUCAACAUUUUGUUCGGCUGCAGCAUAUACAUUAUGUGCUCAUGUUAGCAUGCAUCAACAGAAUCAUUCAAAAAGCAAGAGGCACACGAGGAGGUGAUUACUACCGUAUUUUGCUGCAGCACACACCGUCAAGGCCAAAGCACCAAUGGCUUGCUCUUUUUACCCUUUGCUUCAAAGCAGAUGUAUGGAUCAGUAGAAGAGGACUGGCUGUUACGUUGCUCCCCACUUUCAAAAAGAACAGACUGCAAGCAGAGGCAGUUGGUUACCUCCUACCCUUCCAGAUCCAGCAGGAAUGUGAGAAGCAUAUUGGUGUCCUUUACUCCACUUCCUAAAAUUAGUAGGACUGCAAAGAAAGCUAUAGGGUGCACUGCUGCUUCUCCUCUAGAGACAUCAGAAUAAAGCUGCAUGGGAGACAGUUUUCCUGUCCUGUCAAACUCUAGGAUUUCAAAUUUUUUUUGCAUUGUACACACAGACAAAACAAAUAUAAACCUUAUAAAUGGACAGAAACUCCAGAUGACACUCUCCCAGGUUUAAAUCAUUUUUAUUUUUCAUGAUUCAGAUGAGGAAUUUCAACCUGGCUCUCUCACAUGCGUGCCCUGAUGAUCAUGAGGCUAUGGACUACUGUUGCUAAAGCUUUCUUAAGUUUCUCCUGGUCCAGCUAUUCCACUAUGCAUAAGUGAUUAAAUAUUCAUCCUGGUAAAGAGAAACUAACUCUGUUGCUAAGUGUUUAGACUUCUCACAUGGGAAGUGAAGACCCAGGUUCCCAUCCUAAUCAAAAAAUCAACAGGAGCAGCAAUUUAAGCUUGGGUUUGGUAGUUCCAGGUGAUGGUCCGGAACAUCAAGCUUUCCCUAUUCAAGAAUAGCCCUUUCCUCCCCUCCUCUUCACUCAGAGCUGGCGCACCUUUUCCAACAACAGUUUGUUAAAAAAAAAAACAGUCUUUCCCCACAUGGAAAAAACUCCUGACCAACUCUGAUUAGACCUUCUGAAAGACCUCCAAAUGCAAUGAUAGAUUUACUGCAUCUUUCUCUACUGCAUAAAUUUUUUUUUCCAAAGUGAACUAAGUUUCAAAUUUAAUUCAGAUACCUAGAAGUAAAAAUGAGUUAAUUUGACAUCUAUUUUCAUUUUCAACAGUCUGAAUAAUAAUCAUACAGCAUUUCUGAGAGCUUGCAAGUUUUUAAGAGGAGACAAGAAGCAGGAUGUACAGGCGUGAUACGAAUUGCUUUGCUGAAAGUGAAAAGCAGUAUUUACUGUCACAUAGCAGCAAAAGGCAGGAUGUAAUUCCAUCUUGAGGUUCUGGUGACACUAUUAAACCGUUUGAGCAAUUAUGUUAUUGGAAGCCUUGUGAAUGGGAUUAUAGAUACAUUAGGCAACCUGUUUGUCAGUCUUUUUUUGAUCAUAGAACACACUGGCUAAAAUAUUAAGUAUUGAGCCUUGAUUUCAUUUUAGGCCUUUAAGUCCUUUAGCUUGUCAUCAGCCAAUGAUAAUUAUUAGACUUUUUUACUUAAAUAAAUAUGUUAACAAUUGAUUUAUACAUAAAAAGUAAUCUGGGUCCCAAUCCUGGGAAAUUUUCCAUUAACUACAAUAAGAAAAGAAUAGACAUUUUAGAGCCUUUGUUAGUCUGAAAUUUUAGUGACAUGAACUUAUGUUUUUCCAUACAUUUAAAAUGGAUAUGCUCAUGUGUAUGUUUCUUCCAAGACAUUUUCAUUUACCCCCUUUUAAUUUUCUCAAUGAAGACUCAAGAAGAAACAACCCAAAACACCUAGGAAAAAUUCCAACAAUGCUUAGAGAGAAAAUAAAACUUAAAAAUUAAAUGAGACAAGAUUUUGUCAUUAAAUUAAA